This 249-nucleotide ribosomal RNA is filed under the name uncultured bacterium. RNAcentral's name for it is "partial 16S ribosomal RNA". It matches the Rfam family "Bacterial small subunit ribosomal RNA", at positions 118 to 354 of the family's 1533-position model. The record is from RNAcentral.
UGGGUAACCUGCCUCAAAGAGGGGAAUAGCCUCCCGAAAGGGAGAUUAAUACCGCAUAAUAUGUUUAAGUCGCAUGACUUUAACAUCAAAGGAUUUUCUUUUAGAAAUUCCACUUUGAGAUGGACCCGCGGCGCGUUAGCUAGUUGGUGAGGUAACGGCUCACCAAGGCGACGACGGGUAGCCGGCCUGAGAGGGCGAUCGGCCACACUGGGACUGAGACACGGCCCAGACUCCUACGGGAGCAGCAGG